Molecule: long non-coding RNA, 823 nt
Organism: Ornithodoros turicata
Lineage: Eukaryota; Metazoa; Arthropoda; Arachnida; Ixodida; Argasidae
Exons: 6
Source: RefSeq, a predicted model, not a curated record
UAAAUCUCUACAGUCAAGUGCUGCAUUUUGCAUAGUUUCUUUGUCUCUACAAAUUCUGCACCAGCUAAAUCACGAAAAACUACGAGCGACGCAUGUGACUGCAAUUACGAUGCUGGCAGUUCGUCAUAAAAAUGGACGACGCUUGCAAGAUACUAUGAAUCGUGCGGAAUAAAGGCCAGCGCGACUGAAGUGAGAAACGCUGCAAAUACAUGAAUACUGGGGGCCUGGCAAAAAUCAGCAAAGCUGCUACACAGUUCCCACAGAAUUCCCAGUUCACUCACAAUUGGCUUUGGGAUGGACAGGAUUGCUGACAGUUGAUGCAAAAAAAUCUGUUCAGUGCAGUCUACAGAAUGCAAAAAAGAACGCCGCCGAAGCCCAUGGGGCACCAAGAACUGAUGUGGGAAGAAAAAGACACCACGACAGCGAAGACUUCUCCGAGUCAGACGUUUCGGACUCUGAAUGUAUUGUGUCAGCUGCUGAAGUAAAGAAGGCUAAUGAACAGGCCACAUACUGGCAGCAGCUUUGUGAAAAGAAAGAGGAGGAAAUAUCACAUCUUCCUUCCUGGCUUCUGUACAUAUUCCAGGCUAGCAGCACAGGCUGGCUCUCCUGCAGAGCCGCAACAGCAGUUCAGAAUAGAAACCGAUGCUGAAACCUGGCUCGGCUUCAAUAAACUACUUGCAAGUGGGUUCCGAAGGAACCUCGGAAUCGAUUCCUAGCUCGGAAUCGAUUCCUGGUUCCAUAACCGCCUUGCAAGUGGAUCCAUUUGAAAAUGGAAACGUGUUUCCAGCUGGAAAGCAAUUCCUAGCUGGAAUUCAUUCCUAGC